AGGGGAAGACUCACAUAGAGGCAGCAGUAGCGAAUCUUGUGCAAUAAACGAAAGUAUGACACAGAGAGGACACAUUUAAUUGAGCCCGUCAAAUUAAGUGCCAGCCGACGCGGUUAAACUUAAGGGCUGGUCUUUAUAAGUAAAAAGGCGUAAAGGAUGUGUAGGCCAAGAAACGACCCAAGUAGGUAAAUGGAAUUUUUCUGGAGCGGUAGAAUGUGAGGAUAGAAAAUAGAACCCCUAAGGUAAAAACUAUUUACCACAAGGUAGGCUGAAACAUGAGAGUGUGGGGAGCAAACAGGAUUAGAGACCCUGGUAGUCCACACUGUGAACUUUGAAGAUGAUGCUUAGCAGACCCGAAAGGUAAAAUCUUCCGCCUGAGUAGUACGAUCGCAAGAUUAAAAUUCAAAAACUUUGGCUGUUCACUAUUUCGAUUAGAGGAGCGUGUAGUUUAAUUCGAUGGUCCGCGUGUUACCUUACCCCAACUUGAAUCUGUGACCGGUAUUGCAUGGCCGUCGUAAGUUCGUGUAUUAAGCUAGAAGGGACCCAACCCGGGCAUUUGCCCGGAGGAAGUCAGGUCUUAUGAUCCGAAUGUUGGGGGAUUUUAUGCGCUACAUUUUCUUAUAUAAUGGGAAACCUGGAAGGUGAGCCUCUAAAGUAAGAGUUCGGAAGGUCGCUGUAAGACGACUGGAAGUUGGAUUUAAUAGUAAUCGGAAAGUAGGGCGUUCCGGUGAAUUGGUACAAGUGUUAGCACAAAUUGCCCGUCACCUUUACCUAGAAUGGUUAUUCGGACGUCUUCGGUGAUUACGAAUGCCUACGAGGUAAAGCAAGUCGUAACAU
Molecule: ribosomal RNA, 837 nt
Filed under: Liponema multiporum
Lineage: Eukaryota; Metazoa; Cnidaria; Anthozoa; Actiniaria; Liponematidae
Description: partial 12S small subunit ribosomal RNA
Rfam family: Bacterial small subunit ribosomal RNA
Source: RNAcentral